AGUAAUAUAGUUUAGAAAAUAUUGAGAUGCAAGCUCAAAGUUAUAAAAU
This 49-nucleotide transfer RNA is filed under the name Hypochilus thorelli. RNAcentral's name for it is "tRNA-Cys". The record is from RNAcentral. Lineage: Eukaryota; Metazoa; Arthropoda; Arachnida; Araneae; Hypochilidae.